UCCGGUCUGAACUCAGAUCACGUCUUGGUUGAAAAAACGAACAGUUUAUUCUUAUAAAUUUGCUGCAAUUUUAAGAUUCAAGAAUCCAACAUCGAGGUCACAAUUUUUUAAUUAAAUUUGUUCUUUCAUUAAAAAUUAGUUCUGUUAUCCCUAAAGUAACUUAUUUUUAAGUUUUUAAAUAAAUUUAAAUAAAGAAAUAUUUUAUUCAUUUUCCCCAAAAAAUUAUUUUUUAAUUAGUUUUUAGGGUCUUCUCGUCUAAUAGUAAGAGAAUUAUUUUUUAAUUUCUUUUAAUUUCAUUUUUAAAGGAAAGAAAGAAAAUUUAGGUUUAUUCUUUCAUACUGGCCUACAAUUAAUAGGCUUUUGAUUACGCUACCUUAGCGUAAAACGGCUUUUUAUAAAACAUUGAGCAGAAUUUACUUCCUGCAAAGGAAGAAAUGUUUUU
Molecule: ribosomal RNA, 442 nt
Filed under: Aceria guerreronis (coconut mite)
Lineage: Eukaryota; Metazoa; Arthropoda; Arachnida; Trombidiformes; Eriophyidae
Description: partial large subunit ribosomal RNA
Source: RNAcentral